This is a long non-coding RNA of Dendrobium catenatum, 503 nucleotides long. RefSeq lists it as uncharacterized. The transcript is spliced from 2 exons. NCBI's taxonomy places the organism in Eukaryota, Viridiplantae, Streptophyta, Magnoliopsida, Asparagales, Orchidaceae. The record is from RefSeq and is a predicted model, not a curated record.
AUAUUAUCCCCUUUCAUAAUAAUCAUCUCAUUCUAUUUUGAUAUGGUUGAUUAUUGAUUUUGUUUGCUUUGUGCGUAUUUUGUUGAAGGGAAAGGUGAUAAUAACUGCACUCCCUGGAGAGAAGUUGGAAGUUCCUGAUGAUGCAGUGAUAGAAAACAAGGAGAUCAAGAGCUCUGAGGAUAUCUAAGCUUUAUAUGGAGUUUCCAAUGGCAGUCAUCUACUCAUUAAUGGUAAUAAUAAUCAAUCAUGUAUAAACCCUGAGAAGCUACAAAAAAUUCUCAUGCUUUUACUGCAAUUUAAAGAUAUAUUCACCUUUCCUUUUUUCAAUGAUGAGCAUUACGAACCCUUUUUUUUUUUUGUUUGUCUUCAUUAUAUUUUCUACGCUUGCAUUUUAGAUUUUAGUGGUGCAACAACACUUGUCAAAGAGGUUAUUUCAUUGGAGUGAUUUUGAAUGUAAUGCAUUUUAAACGCUUGAGUUUUAAGUUUUGAGUGCUUGGUUGAUA